Molecule: ribosomal RNA, 485 nt
Filed under: uncultured bacterium
Lineage: Bacteria
Description: bacterial SSU rRNA
Rfam family: Bacterial small subunit ribosomal RNA
Source: RNAcentral
AACGAACGCUGGCGGCGUGGAUUAGGCAUGCAAGUCGUACGCGAAAGGUUCCUUCGGGGGCCGAGUAGAGUGGCGAACUGGUGAGUACAAGGUGAAUAACGUGCCUCGAAGUGGGGGAUAACUUCGCGAAAGCGGAGCUAAUACCGCAUGGUCUUUCUUAUAUAACAGUGAGAAAGUAAAGCAGCAAUGCGCUUUGAGAUCGGUUCACCUCCCAUUAGCUAGUUGGUGGGGUAAUGGCCCACCAAGGCUUCGAUGGGUAGCUGGUCUGAGAGGAUGGUCAGCCACACUGGGACUGAGAUACGGCCCAGACUCCUACGGGGGGCAGCAGUCUAGAGGCUUCGACAAUGCCCGAAAGGGUGAUCGAGCGACGCCGCGUGCGGGAUGAAGGGCUUCGGCUUGUAAACCGCUUUUCCUUGGGAAGAAGGCCCGCUUCGUGAAAGUGGGAUUGACGGUACCAGGGGAAUAAGCCCCGGCUAACUCCGUGC